CCGACCUUAGCUCAGUUGGUAGAGCGGAGGACUGUAGUUGGUCAAACAGAUUAUCCUUAGGUCGCUGGUUCGAAUCCGGCAGGUCGGA
Molecule: non-coding RNA, 88 nt
Organism: Beta vulgaris subsp. vulgaris (sugar beet)
Lineage: Eukaryota; Viridiplantae; Streptophyta; Magnoliopsida; Caryophyllales; Amaranthaceae
Source: Rfam